GAAUAACGCAUAAAAACCUGUCAUUGGGAGGGGAACAACAGCCGGAAACAGCUGUUAAUACCCCGUAGGUUGAGGAGCAAAAGGAGAAAUCCGUCUAAGGAGGGGCUCGUGUCUGAUUAGCUAGUUGGUGAGACAAUAGCUUACGAAGAUAAUAAUUUAGUUAUUUUUAAUUAAAUUUAAUGAACAAUC
This is a non-coding RNA of Populus trichocarpa (black cottonwood), 189 nucleotides long. The record is from Rfam. NCBI's taxonomy places the organism in Eukaryota, Viridiplantae, Streptophyta, Magnoliopsida, Malpighiales, Salicaceae.